GCCUGGGUGGCGGAAUUGGUAGACGCGUUGGUCUCAAACACCAAUGGGAGCAAUCCCGUAUCGGUUCGACUCCGAUCCCAGGUA
RNAcentral lists this transfer RNA (84 nucleotides) under Microscillaceae bacterium. RNAcentral's name for it is "tRNA-Leu". It matches the Rfam family "tRNA". From Rfam's summary of the family: Transfer RNA (tRNA) molecules are approximately 80 nucleotides in length. Their secondary structure includes four short double-helical elements and three loops (D, anti-codon, and T loops). The record is from RNAcentral. Lineage: Bacteria; Pseudomonadati; Bacteroidota; Cytophagia; Cytophagales; Microscillaceae.